RNAcentral lists this unclassified non-coding RNA (364 nucleotides) under uncultured bacterium. RNAcentral's name for it is "contains 16S-23S intergenic spacer region". The record is from RNAcentral.
UCCCGGUUGGCCCGGGCAGUCUCGUCUGAAAAAUACAACAGCCGACAAGGGUUGCGCUCGUUGCGGGACUUAACCCAACAUCUCACGACACGAGCUGACGACGGCCAUGCAACACCUGUCACUGGGUUCCCGAAGGCACUCCCCUGUUUCCAGGGGAUUCCCAGGAUGUCAAGCCUCGGUAAGGUUCUACGCGUAGCUUCGUAUUAAACCACAUGCUCCACUGCUUGUGCGGGCCCCCGCCAAUUCCUUUGAGUUUUAAUCUUGCGACCGUACUCCCCAGGCGGGGCACUUAAUGCGUUAGCUGCGGCACCCAGGGGGUCAAUACCCCGGACACCUAGUGCCCAUCGUUUACAGCGUGGACUAC